UGGAUAGAACUUUUCCUUGGUUUGCGAAUGAGUGCAGGAAUGUUAGACUAGGGUGGGAAUUUUUAUUUGGAUACCAGGGAAAGUUCAAGCAUUCUCUUCGGGAGUGGAGACAUGAGAUAAAGAAGAAAUGCUUUGAUUGUUUCACUCACAACUGGGAGAGGAUAUACAAGCGAGAUAAGAGGGUUGAGCCUGAGCACUUAGCUGCACUUAUAAUAUUGUGGGGCCAAGAGGAGCACCAGGAAAAAUGUAGGAGAAAUAAACUUAAUCGAUGGAAAAAAGAUUAUGAUCAUCAUACGGGGACUACUUCAUUUGCCCAGAUUGAGGAUCAAUUUUGUAGGACAACGAACGCUCCCUUUAUCCCACUACCAGAACUGCACAGGAGAA
Long non-coding RNA from Asparagus officinalis (garden asparagus), 384 nucleotides. RefSeq lists it as uncharacterized. The transcript has 4 exons. NCBI's taxonomy places the organism in Eukaryota, Viridiplantae, Streptophyta, Magnoliopsida, Asparagales, Asparagaceae. The record is from RefSeq and is a predicted model, not a curated record.